AUGUGCGGCAGGGAUAAGCGCUGAAGGCAUCUAAGCGCGAAGCCCCCCUCAAGAUGAGAUUUCCCAUUCGAAAGAAGUAAGACCCCUGAUAGACUAACAGGUUGAUAGGUCUGAGGUGUAAGAGCGGCAACGCUUUCAGCUGACAGAUACUAAUAGGUCGAGGGCUUGAUCAA
Molecule: ribosomal RNA, 173 nt
Filed under: Acidaminobacter sp.
Lineage: Bacteria; Bacillati; Bacillota; Clostridia; Peptostreptococcales; Acidaminobacteraceae
Description: partial 23S ribosomal RNA
Rfam family: Bacterial large subunit ribosomal RNA
Source: RNAcentral